This 253-nucleotide ribosomal RNA is filed under the name uncultured bacterium. Its description in RNAcentral is "partial 16S ribosomal RNA". It matches the Rfam family "Bacterial small subunit ribosomal RNA", at positions 524 to 776 of the family's 1533-position model. The record is from RNAcentral.
UACGUAGGGGGCAAGCGUUACUCGGAUUCACUGGGCGUAAAGCGAAUGUAGGCGGUCUUGUAAGUCAAGGGUGAAAUCCCUCAGCUCAACUGAGGAACUGCCUUUGAUACUGCUUGACUAGAGGACAGGAGAGGUAAGUGGAAUUCCCGGUGUAGCGGUGGAAUGCGUAGAUAUCGGGAGGAACACCAGAGGCGAAGGCGGCUUACUGGACUGAUCCUGACGCUGAGAUUCGAAAGCUAGGGGAGCAAACAGG